Molecule: ribosomal RNA, 492 nt
Filed under: uncultured bacterium
Lineage: Bacteria
Description: partial 16S ribosomal RNA
Rfam family: Bacterial small subunit ribosomal RNA
Source: RNAcentral
AGUGAACGCUGGCGGUAGGCCUAACACAUGCAAGUCGAACGGCAGCACAGUAAGAGCUUGCUCUUACGGGUGGCGAGUGGCGGACGGGUGAGGAAUACAUCGGAAUCUACUUUUUCGUGGGGGAUAACGUAGGGAAACUUACGCUAAUACCGCAUACGACCUACGGGUGAAAGCAGGGGAUCUUCGGACCUUGCGCGAUUGAAUGAGCCGAUGUCGGAUUAGCUAGUUGGCGGGGUAAAGGCCCACCAAGGCGACGAUCCGUAGCUGGUCUGAGAGGGUGAUCAGCCACACUGGAACUGAGACACGGUCCAGACUCCUACGGGAGGCAGCAGUGGGGAAUAUUGGGCAAUGGGCGCAAGCCUGAUCCAGCCAUACCGCGUGGGUGAAGAAGGCCUUCGGGUUGUAAAGCCCUUUUGUUGGGAAAGAAAAGCAGCAGGUUAAUACCCCGCUGUUCUGACGGUACCCAAAGAAUAAGCACCGGCUAACUUCGUG